This 73-nucleotide transfer RNA is filed under the name Mustela putorius furo (domestic ferret). It matches the Rfam family "tRNA". From Rfam's summary of the family: Transfer RNA (tRNA) molecules are approximately 80 nucleotides in length. Their secondary structure includes four short double-helical elements and three loops (D, anti-codon, and T loops). The record is from Rfam by way of RNAcentral. Lineage: Eukaryota; Metazoa; Chordata; Mammalia; Carnivora; Mustelidae.
AUCUGGUUGGCUCAGCUGGAAGAGCAUGUGACUCUUGAUCUCAGGGUCAUGGGUACGAGCCCCAUGUUGGGUG